GAGAGUAUAGUUUAGUGGUAUAGAACCUGCUUAGCAUGCACAAGGUCCUGGGUUCAAUCCCUAGUACCUCCA
Molecule: transfer RNA, 72 nt
Filed under: Camelus bactrianus (Bactrian camel)
Lineage: Eukaryota; Metazoa; Chordata; Mammalia; Artiodactyla; Camelidae
Also listed under: 2 other names
Rfam family: tRNA
About the family: Transfer RNA (tRNA) molecules are approximately 80 nucleotides in length. Their secondary structure includes four short double-helical elements and three loops (D, anti-codon, and T loops).
Source: Rfam by way of RNAcentral